RNAcentral lists this ribosomal RNA (300 nucleotides) under uncultured Pelotomaculum sp. RNAcentral describes it as "bacterial SSU rRNA". It matches the Rfam family "Bacterial small subunit ribosomal RNA", at positions 1089 to 1382 of the family's 1533-position model. The record is from RNAcentral. Lineage: Bacteria; Bacillati; Bacillota; Clostridia; Eubacteriales; Desulfotomaculaceae.
GCAACGAGCGCAACCCCUACCGUUUAGUUUGCUAACGACGUGAAGGCGAGCACUCUAGACGAACUGCCGUUGACAAAACGGAAGGAAGGUGGGGAGUGACGUCAAAUACAUCAUGCCCCUUAUGUUCUGGGCUACACACGUGCUACAAUGGCCGGUACAGACGGACGCAAAGCCGCGAGGCGGAGCAAAUCCGAAAAAGCCGGUCUCAGUUCGGAUUGCAGGCUGCAAUUCGCCUGCAUGAAGUCGGAAUCGCUAGUAAUCGCAGGUCAGCAUACUGCGGUGAAUACGUUCCCGGGCCUU